AGAGUUUGAUCCUGGCUCAGAAUGAACGUUGGCGGCGUGGAUUAGGCAUGCAAGUCGAACGAGAAGUUUCCUUCGGGAGACGGACAGUGGCAAACGGGGUAGUAAGGCGUAGGUGACGUACCCUGGGGACCGGGAUAGCUACGGGAAACUGUAGGUAAUACCGGAUGACCCCUUUUGGCAUGAUCGCUGAGAGAGCAAAGGUGAGAUUCCACCCUGGGAGCGGCUUGCGUAGUAUUAGCUAGUUGGUGAGGUAACGGCUCACCAAGGCUGCGAUGCUUAGGGGGUGUUAGCGCAUGACCCCCACCACUGGGACUGAGAUACUGCCCAGACACCUACGGGUGGCUGCAGUCGAGGAUCUUCGGCAAUGGGCGAAAGCCUGACCGAGCGACGCCGCGUGUGGGAUGAAGGCCCUUGGGUCGUAAACCACUGUCAGAGGGGAUGAAGUGCCAGAGAGCUAUCUCUUUGGUUUGACAUAGCCUCAGAGGAAGCACGGGCUAAGUUCGUGCCAGCAGCCGCGGUAAUACGAACUGUGCAAACGUUAUUCGGAAUCACUGGGCUUAAAGGGUGCGUAGGCGGCUAUCUAAGCAGGGUGUGAAAGCCCCCGGCUCAACCGGGGAAUUGCGUUCUGAACUGGAUGGCUGGAGUGAGAUAGGGGUGUGUGGAACUUCCAGUGGAGCGGUGAAAUGUGUUGAUAUUGGAAGGAACGCCGGUGGCGAAAGCGACACACUGGGUCUCAACUGACGCUGAGGCACGAAAGCCAGGGGAGCGAACGGGAUUAGAUACCCUGGUAGUCC
This 794-nucleotide ribosomal RNA is filed under the name uncultured bacterium. RNAcentral's name for it is "bacterial SSU rRNA". It matches the Rfam family "Bacterial small subunit ribosomal RNA", at positions 8 to 796 of the family's 1533-position model. The record is from RNAcentral.